RNAcentral lists this ribosomal RNA (468 nucleotides) under uncultured bacterium. Its description in RNAcentral is "partial 16S ribosomal RNA". It matches the Rfam family "Bacterial small subunit ribosomal RNA", at positions 28 to 507 of the family's 1533-position model. The record is from RNAcentral.
GACGAACGCUGGCGGCGUGCUUAACACAUGCAAGUCGAACGGAAAGGCCCUGCUUUUGUGGUUUGCUCGAGUGGCGAACGGGUGAGUAACACGUGAGUAACCUGCCCUUGACUUUGGGAUAACUUCAGGAAACUGGGGCUAAUACCGGAUAGGAGCUCCUUCUGCAUGGUGGGGGUUGGAACGUUUCGGCGGUUGGGGAUGGACUCGCGGCUUAUCAGCUUGUUGGUGGGGUAGUGGCUUACCAAGGCUUUGACGGGUAGCCGGCCUGAGAGGGUGACCGGCCACAUUGGGACUGAGAUACGGCCCAGACUCCUACGGGAGGCAGCAGUGGGGAAUAUUGCACAAUGGGCGGAAGCCUGAUGCAGAAACGCCGCGUGCGGGAUGACGGCCUUCGGGUUGUAAACCGCUUUCGCCUGUGACGAAGCGUGAGUGACGGUAAUGGGUAAAGAAGCACCGGCUAACUACGUG